GAGUCUUCCGCCAUGGACGAAAGUCUGACGGAGCAACGCCGCGUGAGUGAAGAAGGCCUUCGGGUCGUAAAACUCUGUUGUUAGGGAAGAACAAGUGUCGGAGUAACCGCCGGCACCUUGACGGUACCUAACCAGAAAGCCACGGCUAACUACGUGCACGCCGCCGCGGUAAUACGUAUGUGGCAAACGGUUUCCGGAAUUAUUGGGCGUAAAGCGCGCGCAGGCGGUUUCGUAAGUCUGAUGUGAAAGCCCCCGGCUCAACCGGGGAGGGUCAUUGGAAACUGGGAAACUUGAGUGCAGAAGAGAAGGGCGGAAUUCCACGUGUAGCGGUGAAAUGCGUAGAGAUGUGGAGGGACACCAGUGGCGAAGGCGGCUCUUUGGUCUGUAACUGACGCUGAGGCGCGAAAGCGUGGGGAGCAAACAG
RNAcentral lists this ribosomal RNA (424 nucleotides) under uncultured bacterium. RNAcentral's name for it is "partial 16S ribosomal RNA". It matches the Rfam family "Bacterial small subunit ribosomal RNA", at positions 359 to 775 of the family's 1533-position model. The record is from RNAcentral.